UACGGAGGAUGCGAGCGUUAUCCGGAUUUAUUGGGUUUAAAGGGAGCGUAGACGGGCUUUUAAGUCAGCUGUGAAAGUUUGGGGCUCAACCUUAAAAUUGCAGUUGAAACUGGAGACCUUGAGUACGGUUGAGGCAGGCGGAAUUCGUGGUGUAGCGGUGAAAUGCUUAGAUAUCACGAAGAACCCCGAUUGCGAAGGCAGCCUGCUAAGCCGCCACUGACGUUGAGGCUCGAAAGUGCGGGUAUCAAACAGG
RNAcentral lists this ribosomal RNA (253 nucleotides) under Phocaeicola coprophilus DSM 18228 = JCM 13818. RNAcentral describes it as "partial 16S ribosomal RNA". It matches the Rfam family "Bacterial small subunit ribosomal RNA", at positions 524 to 776 of the family's 1533-position model. The record is from RNAcentral. Lineage: Bacteria; Pseudomonadati; Bacteroidota; Bacteroidia; Bacteroidales; Bacteroidaceae.